UCAGUGUGAUACAAGACCCUCCGCUUCGCGUCGGGUCCUGAUCACACUGUCGGGGCUUAUUUCCCAAUAACUACCGGCUGCCUCUACAUUAUCCCUUACUUAACGAAUGGGUAGCAGUGUUUUACCACACACACACACACAUCGGUACAUUGAUAAAUAAAAAAUAAAAAUCUAUAUUGCGGUAGAAUAGGCUUGGCAAUCAGAUGAAAGGGGGGCCCUUGGUGUUGCUGUAGCCCCAGGGCCCAAAGUCCUCUUAAUCCGGGCCAUCUAUAGUCAUUUGUACAUGUAUGAGAAUCUAAGCAUGUAUUUUAUUCAUACUGUAAAGCUUCACAUUGUCCAUAUAAAAGAAAAUUACAGUUUACUGGAAGAGGCUGUUGGUGAUCCUUUGAGAGUGGCUGUUGAGUGGAUUUUUUUAUGAGGAGUCAAGAAGUGACAAUGAAAAAUAUCAUUCCUUCAUAAAUUCUCUGAAUAAUAUUACACUUCCUGGGACCAAUGUAACGCUUGAAGGUUUGUCAUUAGAAAUGCUCAUCCCAUCCUUUGAUACCUUGGGUGAAUACUUUCGUUACCAGGGGUCCCUUACCACUCCAGGCUGUUCUGAAGCUGUAGUCUGGACAAUAUUUGAGCAAACCAUACCACUCAGCAAACAGCAGGUAGUUUGUGUGCUUUGACACAUCCCUGAGCAUGCAAGAAUAUCAAAUCUGUUGUUUGAUCUCUGUCUUACAGAGUUUAGGGAUUUGGGCAGCAGUACUGUAACUGUAUAGUUACGCAGAUCUGGCAACCCUUUUGUGAUUAGUUGAUUGAAAUGUUGUCCCAGGGUCAACAUAAAGUUGCCCAUUUUCACAUCUGCAGUUUCACAAUCAGACUGCUAUGAUAAACACACAUCGACCCGUUCAGCCACGGUACGGGCGUGAGGUGUAUCACUCUGGGAGUUAUGUUUUCUGUGUAAGCACUGCCUUAUUGGUCAGCCCUGUUUUCUCUUCUUGUGAUUUGAUUUCUGAGAGUUUUGUAUUAAUCAUUUGCGUUUACAAGCACUUAGGCAGGUUAUGUAUUAUUUACUAAUGUUUGCCAAGUUAAAUAUAAAGUCAAAUGUUACUUUAUUGCAAUAUAUCUAGCAAUAUUCUUGGUUUUGCAAUGUACUUGAGACAGACUUUAUUGAUGGUUAUUUAACAGCCCCGGCAUUGUAUAUACUCGAGACAACUUGUGCAAAAGAGCAGUGUGCAAAAGAGUAGUGUGUAACAUUGUGUAACAUUAUGGUAUCUUGA
This is a non-coding RNA of Paramisgurnus dabryanus, 1262 nucleotides long. The record is from RefSeq and is a predicted model, not a curated record. NCBI's taxonomy places the organism in Eukaryota, Metazoa, Chordata, Actinopteri, Cypriniformes, Cobitidae.